RNAcentral lists this long non-coding RNA (891 nucleotides) under Bos grunniens (domestic yak). RNAcentral describes it as "lncRNA (ENSBGRG00000026705.1)". Lineage: Eukaryota; Metazoa; Chordata; Mammalia; Artiodactyla; Bovidae. The record is from RNAcentral.
AUUCGAGGCUCCAAAAGCACUUGUAUGUUUACAGUCUCUAGAUCUUUCUCUCUGCCGUUACCACUAGGAGCGCCAACCUCAUCUGCGGACCCCAGAGAUGGAUGAGAGGUGCGUGGAGCGGGCCUGGCUCACUCCGGAGUGGUCCAGGCUGUCCUAGAUCCAGCAGCCCCAGCAAUGAGAGCCAGCCCGGCCACAGCUACUGCAGCCCGGAGAGGCUUGUUUCAGCCUUUCCCUCCCUGCUCCUUCGGUCAUAACCUGGACCGUUGAGAAGUUGAAGCAGAUGCUCUCCUGCAAAGAUUCUGGACGCUACCCACAACUCAUUAUCAGUAGACGUAUCAGAGACAUCACACCUGGACAGGUCCCAUUCUCUACAAGGUAUGUGUGGAGGCACAGGGGAACCUGGGCUCUGUUGAGUUAGAGCCCAACCUGCAGGGCGACGUGCCACCCGCCUCCAACUCGAGAUGAGCCCGGAUAAAACUUGUGGGGUGCUUCCUUCUAGAUUCACAAAAACAUGGCCUUUGGUAAUUAAUCCUGGUGACACCAACACAGGGAUCCCGCCUGCCCUGCAUUCUUAGCCCCCACGGUGGAGCCUGUCUCAUCCUUUAGUGUCGAAGAAAAGUCUCCCUUUAAACAGGGAGUUGGAAGACUUGCUAAAGUGCUGUUUCUACAGAUAUUUUACUACCAUCAUGCGUAGUGAGACUAUGAAAAAGAGAAUCACGGCUGGCGUAAGAGAAGCUCAGAGUGCAGGGUUUCCUCACUUAUUUUUUGACAAGGUCUGAUUUUACCUUUGUAUGAGAUUUACUACUAGAAUUUGGGCUUCCCUAGUGGCUCAGAUGGCAGAGAAUCUGCUUGCAAGGCAGGAGAAUGCUCCCCAGUCACACCUCUGGGAGC